RNAcentral lists this ribosomal RNA (510 nucleotides) under Nocardia sp. 306E04. RNAcentral's name for it is "bacterial SSU rRNA". It matches the Rfam family "Bacterial small subunit ribosomal RNA", at positions 93 to 617 of the family's 1533-position model. The record is from RNAcentral. Lineage: Bacteria; Bacillati; Actinomycetota; Actinomycetes; Mycobacteriales; Nocardiaceae.
GAGCGGCGAACGGGUGAGUAACACGUGGGUGAUCUGCCUUGCACUCUGGGAUAAGCCUGGGAAACUGGGUCUAAUACCGGAUAUGACCACGUACUGCAUGGUGUGUGGUGGAAAGAUUUAUCGGUGCGAGAUGGGCCCGCGGCCUAUCAGCUUGUUGGUGGGGUAAUGGCCUACCAAGGCGACGACGGGUAGCCGGCCUGAGAGGGCGACCGGCCACACUGGGACUGAGACACGGCCCAGACUCCUACGGGAGGCAGCAGUGGGGAAUAUUGCACAAUGGGCGGAAGCCUGAUGCAGCGACGCCGCGUGAGGGAUGACGGCCUUCGGGUUGUAAACCUCUUUCGACAGGGACGAAGCGCAAGUGACGGUACCUGUAGAAGAAGCACCGGCCAACUACGUGCCAGCAGCCGCGGUAAUACGUAGGGUGCGAGCGUUGUCCGGAAUUACUGGGCGUAAAGAGCUUGUAGGCGGUUCGUCGCGUCGAUUGUGAAAACUUGCAGCUCAACUGCA